Molecule: long non-coding RNA, 359 nt
Organism: Cylas formicarius (sweet potato weevil)
Lineage: Eukaryota; Metazoa; Arthropoda; Insecta; Coleoptera; Brentidae
Exons: 3
Source: RefSeq, a predicted model, not a curated record
AAAUAAAUUAAUAAAAUUUAUGUCAGAUUUAUAUUUCUGGUAAAGCGGGAAAAAAUGCGUUGUUAGAAUGUUUAAUGGAGCGAUUUAAUGUUAGUGGUCGUAUUGAAUAUGAAAAACGGAAGGUCGUAAACCGGAAUGCUAACAAUGAGAAAAAAAAUUGCAAAUUUUUCUUCAAGUUCAAGAUAAUUCCCCAGACCGUGAUUUUGAACAAAGGGAACAUUUCUGCAGUAUUAUAAAUGAAGCAAUAGAGGCCAAUCCAAAUUUUUUGUUAAAAAUGAUGUUUUCCGAUGAAACUGCUUUUCGCAGUAAUGGUGCAGAUAAUCGUCAUAACAUGCUUUAUAAUUCAACAGUUAAUCCAU